UGUGGCGCGGGUUCCGCUCCACCCCCGGAGCCCCGCCCCCGACGCCCAGCGCUCCGCCCCGCCCUCGCCUGGCUCCCUGCCCCGCCCCGCCCGCCGUCCCCCGCUUGGCUUCCAGCGCCGCUUGCGCUCCGGAGCGCUGGCUCUGCUGGCGCUGAGAAAUGGACCAAUUUUGACAAGAUAUAGUGCUGCAGCGUGCCUGAUGGGAUAUAUUCAGUCAUGGCAUCCGAACUUUGUAAGACGAUCUCUGUGGCAAGGCUAGAAAAGCACAAGAAUUUGUUCUUAAAUUAUAGGAAUCUGCACCAUUUUCCUUUGGAGUUACUGAAAGAUGAGGGACUGCAGUACUUGGAGAGACUCUAUAUGAAAAGGAACUCCCUGACAUCCUUGCCAGAAAACCUUGCUCAGAAGCUUCCAAACCUUGUGGAACUAUACCUGCACUCAAAUAACAUAGUUGUGGUUCCGGAAGCCAUUGGGUCUCUUGUAAAACUCCAGUGUCUGGAUCUUAGUGACAAUGCCUUAGAAAUUGUUUGCCCAGAAAUUGGUCGUCUGAGAGCUUUACGUCAUCUUCGAUUAGCUAAUAACCAACUGCAAUUCCUACCUCCAGACCAUGAGAACAUUGCUCUGAACUGGUGUUCCUGUGAACACAGUUGGACUAACCGCUACUUGAGAUGUGUGUUGUUCCAUAAGAGGUUGGCGAUUUGAAGGAGCUGCAGACACUAGACAUUUCUACCAAUCGUUUGCUAACUUUACCCGAGAGGCUUCACAUGUGCCUUUCUCUGCAGUACCUCACUGUGGACCGAAAUCGUCUAUGGUAUGUGCCGCGCCAUCUCUGCCAGCUGCCCAGCCUCAAUGAGCUCUCCAUGGCUGGAAACCGUCUUGCAUUUUUGCCACUUGG
RNAcentral lists this small RNA (892 nucleotides) under Pan troglodytes (chimpanzee). Its description in RNAcentral is "processed transcript". Lineage: Eukaryota; Metazoa; Chordata; Mammalia; Primates; Hominidae. The record is from RNAcentral.